RNAcentral lists this ribosomal RNA (467 nucleotides) under uncultured bacterium. Its description in RNAcentral is "partial 16S ribosomal RNA". It matches the Rfam family "Bacterial small subunit ribosomal RNA", at positions 28 to 523 of the family's 1533-position model. The record is from RNAcentral.
GAUGAACGCUGGCGGCGUGCCUAAAACAUGCAAGUCGUGCGGUAACAGGUCUAGUUUACUAGAUGCUGACGAGCGGCGGACGGCUGAGUAACGCGUGGGAAUCUGCCCCGAAGUGAGGGAUAACUGCCCGAAAGGGUGGCUAAUACCGCAUAUGGUCUACGGAUUAAAGAAGCAAUUCGCUUCGGGAGGAGCCCGCGUAAGAUUAGCUAGUUGGUGAGGUAAUGGCUCACCAAGGCGACGAUCUUUAACUGGUUUGAGGGGAUGAUCAGUCAGACUGGAACUGAGACACGGUCCAGACUCCUACGGGAGGCAGCAGUUAGGAAUAUUCCACAAUGGGGGCAACCCUGAUGGAGCAACGCCGCGUGGAGGAUGAAGGCCUUCGGGUCGUAAACUUCUUUUCUAUGCGAAGAAUAUGACGGUAACAUAGGAAUAAGGGUCUGCUAACUACGUGCCAGCAGCCGCGGUAA